Molecule: ribosomal RNA, 253 nt
Filed under: uncultured bacterium
Lineage: Bacteria
Description: partial 16S ribosomal RNA
Rfam family: Bacterial small subunit ribosomal RNA
Source: RNAcentral
UACGAAGGGGGCUAGCGUUGUUCGGAAUCACUGGGCGUAAAGCGCACGCAGGCGGAUUGAUAAGUCGGGGGUGAAAUCCCGGGGCUCAACCUUGGAAUUGCCUUCGAUACUGUCUGUCUUGAGUCCGGGAGAGGUGAGUGGAAUUCCUAGUGUAGAGGUGAAAUUCGUAGAUAUCUGGAGGAACACCGGUGGCGAAGGCGGCAUCCUGGACCAACACUGACACUGAGGAGCGAAAGCCAGGGGAGCAAACGGG